Molecule: long non-coding RNA, 1400 nt
Organism: Balaenoptera ricei (Rice's whale)
Lineage: Eukaryota; Metazoa; Chordata; Mammalia; Artiodactyla; Balaenopteridae
Exons: 8
Source: RefSeq, a predicted model, not a curated record
AGGAGAUGGUGUGUUAACAUCUACGUCAUAAAGCUGCAAAGGCGCUAAACAUCUUCUUGGAGGAAGAGGAAUCUUGGUUCUAGUUAAUGAGAGAAGCAGCACAGCCCAGUGGUUAAGUGUGCAAGCUCGGAAGUGACACAGCUGGGUUCCAAUCCUAAAUUCUGCCUUUUGCCAGCUCUGCAUAAACUGGUGGCAAGUUACUUCACUUCUGCAAGCCUCCUGUGCCAUGCCUACAAAUAGAGGAUAAGGAGACGUUUAUGGAGGUGACUUGCCCAAGGUCUUCCAAGCUGACUGGAACUGAGACAUCAGCUCUUCUUGGGUCUCGAGUCACCAGCCUUUGGACCUGCAGCUACACCAUCGACUUUCCUGCUUCUCAGGCCUUUGGAAUUGGACUGCAAUUUACAUCAUCAGUUCUCCUGGGUCUUCAGCUGGCUGACAGCAGAUCUGGGGACUUAGCUUCCAUAAUCAUGACAAUGCCUAGCUUCCUUUUAAACCACCUCUCCAGAGAGCAGAGGUUGCCGGAAGUGCACAGGCUGAAAGAGGUUUCCCUUUGCCUACACUCUGCCAAAUGGAACAUCUUCAAAGUGAUUCUCUGGUUCAAAAACAGAGGAUGCUGAGGAACAUCCCACGAGGCUGCUCCGCUUCCCGGCCUCCUGGCGAUUUAUUAAGUGCCAGGCUCUAUUCUGUGGUGGAGCAAAUCAGACAAUGAAGGAGACCGCAAUCCAGUGGAGGAAGAAUGAUGACAAUAAAGAAAGAAACAAGUAAAUAAAUAAGGUCAUUCCAGAAAAUGUUGGGAUGGCAGGGGAGACCUCCCUGAGGAGAUGACAUCUGAGCUGAGUGCUGAUUCAUGGGAAGGAAGAAGCCAUAUGCAGAUCCUGGAGAAGAGAAUUCCAGGCAUUGGGAACAGAGGAUGCAAAGCCUCAUUAAGCAUCUUUCCCCAAAUCAUACAGGUGAUGAGAGUCGGAGCCAGGGUUUGAACCCGGGUCUGUGUACCUCAAAGCCUGGUGAGCAGCCCCGCUCUGGGCUGCUGAAUGCCCACCAUGAACUCUGUAUAAGACAUGGAUCUCUGCUUCGGUCCAAGAUGUGGGGCAUGAAUGGCCCACAGCAAGGAGUCCUGGAAAGCACGAAGCUGGGACCAGAGUGGGGUGGGGUGGGAGGUCCAGCUGGCUCCCAAAACGGCUCUGCCUUGCUGAGCACCAGGGUCUCAUGCCAGAGCUCGGGGACAGCAGUCAGGCUGUCUGGGUUUGAAUCCCCACGUCCCACAUACCAGGUGUGUGACUUCUUCCUCAUCAAUAAAAUGGGUGGAGAACUAGUACCUUCCUCGUAGCUUUGUUUGUGAUGAUUAAAUGUGCUGACUCAUGUGAGGUGCUUAAAAUGGUGCCUGGCAUAUUCUAAGUACU